This 253-nucleotide ribosomal RNA is filed under the name uncultured bacterium. Its description in RNAcentral is "partial 16S ribosomal RNA". It matches the Rfam family "Bacterial small subunit ribosomal RNA", at positions 524 to 776 of the family's 1533-position model. The record is from RNAcentral.
GACAGAGGUCCCGAGCGUUAGGCGGAAUCACUGGGCUUAAAGCGUGUGUAGGCGGAUUUGUAAGUACCUUGUGAAAUCCCACAGCUCAACUGUGGAACUGCUUGGUAUACUGCUUAUCUUGGGCCAUCUAGGGGCUACCGGAACAAGUGGUGGAGCGGUGAAAUGCGUAGAUAUCACUUGGAACGCCAAUGGUGAAAACAGGUAGCUGGGGAUGUGCCGACGCUGAGACACGAAAGCCAGGGGAGCAAACGGG